CACCUCGAUGUCGGCUCAUCACAUCCUGGGGCUGAAGUAGGUCCCAAGGGUAUGGCUGUUCGCCAUUUAAAGUGGUACGCGAGCUGGGUUUAGAACGUCGUGAGACAGUUCGGUCCCUAUCUGCCGUGGGCGCUGGAGAAUUGAGGGGGGCUGCUCCUAGUACGAGAGGACCGGAGUGGACGCAUCACUGGUGUUCGGGUUGUCAUGCCAAUGGCACUGCCCGGUAGCUAAAUGCGGAAGAGAUAAGUGCUGAAAGCAUCUAAGCACGAAACUUGCCCCGAGAUGAGUUCUCCCUGAGACUUUAAGUCUCCUGAAGGAACGUUGAGACAGUUCGGUCCCUAUCUGCCGUGGGCGCUGGAGAAUUGAGGGGGGCUGCUCCUAGUACGAGAGGACCGGAGUGGACGCAUCACUGGUGUUCGGGUUGUCAUGCCAAUGGCACUGCCCGGUAGCUAAAUGCGGAAGAGAUAAGUGCUGAAAGCAUCUAAGCACGAAACUUGCCCCGAGAUGAGUUCUCCCUGAGACUUUAAGUCUCCUGAAGGAACGUUGAAGACGACGACGUUGAUAGGCCGGGUGUGUAAGCGCAGCGAUGCGUUGAGCUAACCGGUACUAAUGAACCGUGAGGCUUAACCUUACAACGCCGAAG
Molecule: ribosomal RNA, 643 nt
Filed under: Klebsiella pneumoniae
Lineage: Bacteria; Pseudomonadati; Pseudomonadota; Gammaproteobacteria; Enterobacterales; Enterobacteriaceae
Description: partial 23S ribosomal RNA
Rfam family: Bacterial large subunit ribosomal RNA
Source: RNAcentral